Molecule: long non-coding RNA, 183 nt
Organism: Glossina fuscipes
Lineage: Eukaryota; Metazoa; Arthropoda; Insecta; Diptera; Glossinidae
Exons: 2
Source: RefSeq, a predicted model, not a curated record
AUUAUCACCUGCUUACGUGAUUAUCUUCCAGGCUUUUUUUUCUAGUGUUAAAUUGGAGUGGACUAUGCUAAUAAGUGUGUGGCUUAUAUUUCCAGAUUUGUGAUCACGACAGCCAAGUUAUUGCAAUCAACUUGAAAUACGGAGAGGCAGCCUCUGAUUCGAUUUGGAAAAAUUCAUAUAAGG